GUGCUUGCUUUGGCAGCACAUAUACUAAAAUUGGAACGAUACAAAGAAGAUUAGCAUGGCCCCUGUGCAAGGAUGACAUGUAAAUUCAUGAAGCAUCCUGUAUUUUU
Molecule: small nuclear RNA, 107 nt
Organism: Ursus americanus (American black bear)
Lineage: Eukaryota; Metazoa; Chordata; Mammalia; Carnivora; Ursidae
Source: Ensembl